Long non-coding RNA from Sapajus apella (tufted capuchin), 1684 nucleotides. RefSeq lists it as uncharacterized. The record is from RefSeq and is a predicted model, not a curated record. The transcript is spliced from 2 exons. Lineage: Eukaryota; Metazoa; Chordata; Mammalia; Primates; Cebidae.
UCACCUGACCAGUUGGCCAGACUGGUCUUAAACAUCUGUCCUCAAGUGAUCCUCCCACCUUGGCCUCCCAAAGUGCUGGGAUUACAGGUGUGAGCCACCAUGCCUAACCUGGACACUUUCUUAGUUCAGCCAGAGACAGGGUUCUUUGUUCCAUGGCCAUGAAAAUUCAGGCUCACAGGCAAUUUGAAUGGUGAGUACUACAGGGUUUUAUUGGGUGAAAAGGAAGAAAAGGGGGAAACAGGAACUCCCACUAGGCCAGAGUCCCUGCUGGAGUGCUUCCUGCCCGGCCUUUCCAGUUCAGGUUCCACACGGGAAGAGGAGGGGCCGGGCUCAGGUUCCACACGGGAAUAGGAGGGGCCAGGAUCCUCCUCAAUGAAAAUGCCCCAAACUUCCCAAGGUUUCACCCCAGUGUGCAUGCCUCCCAGUGUGCAGGCUGGUUGGAGAUUCUCUGGGGACCCCCUCCCACUUGCUGUCUCAGUGGUAGUUGAGCCAAGUUCUGGAAAAUGAUAAGGAGCCUACCAAGCAAACCAUGAGGGGAGCUCUGUAGUCUUAGUGAGAGUCACACUUUUCUUUAAAGGGUGAAGGAAAGGGUAAACCUGGGCAAGAGGGAAGGAGAGAGUGCCAGGGAGUAGGUCCGAAGGAACUUGCCCAAGAGGAGGAAAGAAGGCUUCACGGUUUCCCAUCUGCACUAGAGGGCUGAGUGGCAAACAGAGUCUUAGUUUGAGAGAUAAACAAACAAACAAAAAUCUCCUUUCUUCUCUUCGAAUUUAUGCCAGGAGGAGAGCCACCAUCCAUUAAGGCAACUUAAGAAAGUUUGAUGUAAUCUUCAUUAAUGACCUGGAGAUCUCACGCCAUGCAUAUAAGAUAUGGAAUGUAAUCAUAAUAUCAGAUACUUACCUGGUGUUUACCAUAUGCAAGGCAUUGUCCCAAGGGCUCUAUAUACAGAUGCAUUCGUAGAACUCAUUUAAUUCUCACAGCCACCCUAUGAUUGUGUAACUCAUUUAUUUCUCUUUGUGUUUAAGAGACUUGCCCAAAGGUCAUAUAGCUUGUAAGUGACAGAAACAGGCAUGAAACAUAGGCAGGCUGCCUCCGUAGGACAUAUGUGUAUUUCCAUCAUGUCACAGUCCUCACUGAAGGCUUCGGAAGGCAGAGAGCAAACCUCCAGCAGCCAGAGACUGUGCUGCUGUGUCUGUAUAAAACUAUCUCUCUGGCAUUGUUGAGAGUAAAAAUUAAAAGUGCAGCUCAUCAGAGAUGAUUGCCUUAAUUCAAAGGGCAAGGGGAGCUGCACAUUUAACUGUGGCUGCCCUCUGCAUACUGCUGGCUGUGAUGUGAUCGCUGUGUUUAUAUGAAAUCCUGCAGCCAAUGGCAGCAUCUUUCAGGCAUCAGUGGUCUGUCUUGGUAGAAGCAGAAUGGACCUCUCAGUUUUUUACACGUUUUUUUUUUAUUUUUCUUUCUAGAACCGGGUUCAGGUGGAUAGACUCUAAAUAGAAUACCAUGCCAAUGCCAAUUAUAUUCGGAAAGUAUUACAAUUUCUCUUUUGAUGCUUAUUACAUUACAUUAAUUAAGAACAAACUUAGAUAAAGAAGGGUGUAAGUUUAAAUGCUAAAAUCCUGAAGUGAGAACUUUGUAGUCUGAAAAAAGCUACAGAACUGACUUUUCUUCUUGAAAAAAAAAAAAAAGAAAA